GGUUUCAAAUAAACGUUUUAAAUUACCUUGAUUUGAAUGAAAUUAUCAAUUUUACUUUCGCGCUACGGAUCGUGCGGGUCGCGAAACGUGACAAUAAUUCAAUUAAAAAUGAGUAUCAUCAACGUAUUGGGCUUAGGUUAUUGCAAAUGAUUUUCAAUACUCUGCUGAAAAAAAUUCAGCGGAAAAUUCACAAUUAAGAAACCGGGUAAAGCAUAUAUAAUAAAAGCACUUUCGACGGCAAAUGUCACAAGAAACCCUCAAACUGGCUUAAAGAUGCUCUAGAAAAAAACAGCCACGGAGCAGAGAGACGAUGAACCUUCUGGUAAAAGGACUAUGAUUCUCAGUACUUACCUCAGAACUGUCAGAAAACUACGAGUAUCGUGACAAAUUAUUAUUUGUGAAAUUUCAAAGUGUCGAGAGAUUCGAAUGCAGAGCUCGAAAAAAGGAAUUUUUAAAUUAAUGAGGAAGAAGAGUUUGAAAAUAAACUUCCAAAAUUGACAGAA
This is a long non-coding RNA of Bombus terrestris (buff-tailed bumblebee), 503 nucleotides long. RefSeq lists it as uncharacterized. The record is from RefSeq and is a predicted model, not a curated record. The transcript has 2 exons. Lineage: Eukaryota; Metazoa; Arthropoda; Insecta; Hymenoptera; Apidae.